Molecule: unclassified non-coding RNA, 215 nt
Filed under: Glomus sp.
Lineage: Eukaryota; Fungi; Glomeromycota; Glomeromycetes; Glomerales; Glomeraceae
Description: partial contains 5.8S ribosomal RNA and internal transcribed spacer 2
Rfam family: 5.8S ribosomal RNA (bases 1-65)
Source: RNAcentral
GUGAAUCAUCGAAUUUUUGAACGCAAAUUGCACUCUCUUCGGAGAGUAUGCCUGUUUGAGGGUCAGCCUAAAAAAAAAAUCGACAUAGUCGCUGUUUCGCGGUGAAUUUCGUCGGAAAUGGGGUUAUCUUAAACCUUUGGGUUUUAAGAGGCUUAAAAUUUUUUUUAGGUUUCCGCAAAGGUUUUUAAGUUUUACUUCUUUUACGUUUAAGGUUU